This 31-nucleotide ribosomal RNA is filed under the name Eimeria intestinalis. RNAcentral describes it as "partial 28S ribosomal RNA". Lineage: Eukaryota; Apicomplexa; Conoidasida; Eucoccidiorida; Eimeriidae. RNAcentral also lists the same sequence under 1 other name. The record is from RNAcentral.
GACCUGAAAUCAGUCGAGAUUACCCGCUGAA